This is a non-coding RNA of Phaseolus vulgaris (common bean), 135 nucleotides long. The record is from Rfam. Lineage: Eukaryota; Viridiplantae; Streptophyta; Magnoliopsida; Fabales; Fabaceae.
UAGAGCCGUGCGAGAUGAAAGUCUCAUGCACGGUUUUGAAUAAGAGAAAGAAGUGAGGAAUCCUCUUUUCGACAGAAAAGAUAUAAGUUGUUAAAAUACAUUUUUUUAUAGACUAAAAAAAGAGUUAGCUCAUAU